UACGGAGGGGGUUAGCGUUGUUCGGAAUUACUGGGCGUAAAGCGCGCGUAGGCGGAUUGGAAAGUUGGGGGUGAAAUCCCGGGGCUCAACCCCGGAACUGCCUCCAAAACUCCCAGUCUUGAGUUCGAGAGAGGUGAGUGGAACUCCGAGUGUAGAGGUGAAAUUCGUAGAUAUUCGGAAGAACACCAGUGGCGAAGGCGGCUCACUGGCUCGAUACUGACGCUGAGGUGCGAAAGUGUGGGGAGCAAACAGG
This 253-nucleotide ribosomal RNA is filed under the name uncultured bacterium. Its description in RNAcentral is "partial 16S ribosomal RNA". It matches the Rfam family "Bacterial small subunit ribosomal RNA", at positions 524 to 776 of the family's 1533-position model. The record is from RNAcentral.